This 73-nucleotide transfer RNA is filed under the name Chitinophaga fulva. RNAcentral's name for it is "Chitinophaga sp. G-6-1-13 tRNA-Asp". It matches the Rfam family "tRNA". From Rfam's summary of the family: Transfer RNA (tRNA) molecules are approximately 80 nucleotides in length. Their secondary structure includes four short double-helical elements and three loops (D, anti-codon, and T loops). Lineage: Bacteria; Pseudomonadati; Bacteroidota; Chitinophagia; Chitinophagales; Chitinophagaceae. The record is from RNAcentral.
AUGGGCCGUAGUUCAGCUGGAAGAAUGCCUGACUGUCACUCUUGAGACGUGAGUUCGAUUCUCACCGGCCAUA